GGUAUAGACCCGAAACCCGGUGAUCUAGCCAUGGGCAGGUUGAAGGUUGGGUAACACUAACUGGAGGACCGAACCGACUAAUGUUGAAAAAUUAGCGGAUGACUUGUGGCUGGGGGUGAAAGGCCAAUCAAACCGGGAGAUAGCUGGUUCUCCCCGAAAUCUAUUUAGGUAGAGCCUUGAGCGGACACCUUCGGGGGUAGAGCACUGUUUCGGCUAGGGGUCCAUCCCGGAUUACCAACCCGAUGCAAACUACGAAUACCGAAGAGUGAUACUCAGGAGACACACGGCGGGUGCUAACGUCCGUCGUGGAGAGGGAAACAACCCAGACCGCCAGCUAAGGUCCCAAAGUCUAUAUUAAGUGGGAAACGAAGUGGGAAGGCUUAGACAGCUAGGAUGUUGGCUUAGAAGCAGCCAUCAUUUAAAGAAAGCGUAAUAGCUCACUAGUCGAGUCGGCCUGCGCGGAAGAUGUAACGGGGCUCAAAUAUAGCACCGAAGCUGCGGCAUCAGUAGCAAUACUGUUGGGUAGGGGAGCGUUCUGUAAGCGGAUGAAGGUUAAUCGAGAGGUUAGCUGGACGUAUCAGAAGUGCGAAUGCUGACAUAAGUAACGAUAAAACGGGUGAAAAACCCGUUCGCCGGAAGACCAAGGGUUCCUGUCCAACGUUAAUCGGGGCAGGGUGAGUCGGCCCCUAAGGCGAGGCUGAAAAGCGUAGUCGAUGGGAAACGGGUUAAUAUUCCCGUACUUGGAUAAACUGCGAUGUGGGGACGGAGCAGGUUAGGUUAUCGCACUGUUGGAUAUGUGCGUUUAAGUUGGUAGGUGUGAAGUUUAGGCAAAUCCGGACUUCUUUAACACUGAGAGAUGAUGACGAGGCUCUACGGAGCUGAAGUAACCGAUACCACACUUCCAGGAAAAGCCACUAAGCUUCAGGUUUAUCUAAACCGUACUGAAAACCGACACAGGUGGUCAGGUAGAGAAUACUCAGGCGCUUGAGAGAACUCGGGUGAAGGAACUAGGCAAAAUAGCACCGUAACUUCGGGAGAAGGUGCGCCGGCGUAGAUUGUAAGGGCUUGCCCCUGAAGGUUGAACCGGUCGAAGAUACCAGCUGGCUGCAACUGUUUAUUAAAAACACAGCACUCUGCAAACACGAAAGUGGACGUAUAGGGUGUGAUGCCUGCCCGGUGCUGGAAGGUUAAUUGAUGGUGUAAUCGAAAGAGAAGCUCCUGAUCGAAGCCCCAGUAAACGGCGGCCGUAACUAUAACGGUCCUAAGGUAGCGAAAUUCCUUGUCGGGUAAGUUCCGACCUGCACGAAUGGCAUAAUGAUGGCCAGGCUGUCUCCACCCGAGACUCAGUGAAAUUGAAAUCGCCGUGAAGAUGCGGUGUACCCGCGGCUAGACGGAAAGACCCCGUGAACCUUUACUAUAGCUUGACACUGAACAUUGAAUUUUGAUGUGUAGGAUAGGUGGGAGACUUAGAAGUAGUCACGCCAGUGAUUAUGGAGUCGUCCUUGAAAUACCACCCUUUAACGUUUGAUGUUCUAACGAAGAUUACGAAACGUGGUCUCGGACAGUGUCUGGUGGGUAGUUUGACUGGGGCGGUCUCCUCCCAAAGAGUAACG
This 1613-nucleotide ribosomal RNA is filed under the name human gut metagenome. Its description in RNAcentral is "bacterial LSU rRNA". It matches the Rfam family "Bacterial large subunit ribosomal RNA", at positions 706 to 2302 of the family's 2925-position model. The record is from RNAcentral.